RNAcentral lists this long non-coding RNA (202 nucleotides) under Lathyrus oleraceus (garden pea). RNAcentral describes it as "Pisum sativum (pea) long non-coding RNA (PSAT_LNC005250)". Lineage: Eukaryota; Viridiplantae; Streptophyta; Magnoliopsida; Fabales; Fabaceae. The record is from RNAcentral.
AAAAAUAAAAAACAAAAUCUAUUUUUUUAAAACUAAAAUAAUAUGGCCAAACACUUUCUUCAAGAAAUCUCUACAAACACUAGACUCCAAAGCCUCCUCCAGUAGGAAAAAAUGAUUAGUAUUAAGAUCAUAAACCUUUAUACCCUGUCAGAUUGAUACAUAAAAACCCUGUAAGAUUGAAAACCAGUUUGUAUAACUUAUA